This 1009-nucleotide ribosomal RNA is filed under the name Scytinopogon sp. 0808RK7-5. RNAcentral describes it as "eukaryotic LSU rRNA". The stretch from base 109 to 1009 matches the Rfam family "Eukaryotic large subunit ribosomal RNA", at positions 1 to 919 of the family's 3401-position model. The record is from RNAcentral. Lineage: Eukaryota; Fungi; Basidiomycota; Agaricomycetes; Trechisporales; Hydnodontaceae.
CGGGUCAAACUCGACUGGGCGUUGUACUGUCCUCGCUCGACCGAGUCCCCUCUACCGUGCUCGGACCUUGUCCGCCUCUGGAGUGGUGGACGGCACCUCCUCGAAAUCUGACCUCAAAUCAGGUAGGACUACCCGCUGAACUUAAGCAUAUCAAUAAGCGGAGGAAAAGAAACUAACAAGGAUUCCCCUAGUAACUGCGAGUGAAGCGGGAAAAGCUCAAAUUUGAAAUCUGGCGGUUCUGCCGUCCGAGUUGUAUUCUGGAGAAGCGCCUUCCGCACCGGACCGUGUACAAGUGCCUUGGAACAGGACGUCAUAGAGGGUGAGAAUCCCGUCUUUGACACGGACCCCCGGCGCUCUGCGAUGCGCUCUCGAAGAGUCGAGUUGUUUGGGAAUGCAGCUCAAAACGGGUGGUAAAUUCCAUCUAAAGCUAAAUAUUGGCGAGAGACCGAUAGCGAACAAGUACCGUGAGGGAAAGAUGAAAAGCACUUUGGAAAGAGAGUAAAACAGUACGUGAAAUUGUUGAAAGGGAAACGCUUGAAGUCAGUCGCGUCUGCCGGAACUCAGCCUUGCUUCUGCUCGGCGCACUUUCCGGUCCGACGGGCCAGCAUCGGUUUUGCGAGGCGGACACUGGCGGGGGGAAGGUGGCGGCUCUGGCCGCGUUACAGCCCCCCGUCGCGAACGUCUGGCGGGACCGAGGAAUCCGGCGCGAGCCUGGGAUGCUGGCGUAAUGGCUUUAAACGACCCGUCUUGAAACACGGACCAAGGAGUGCUACACGCCCGCGAGUGUUUGGGUGGAAAACCCGGACGCGCAAUGAAAGUGAAAGUCGAUACCCCUUUGUCGGGGGCACCGACGCCCGAGCCCGAUGUUUUCGGACGGCCUUGCGGUAGAGCGAGCGUGUUGCGACCCGAAAGAUGGUGAACUAUUCCUGAGGAGGGCGAAGCCAGAGGAAACUCUGGUGGAGGCUCGUAGCGGUUCUGACGUGCAAAUCGAUCGCAGGACUUGGGUAUA